AUUUUCGUACACAGCAUUUCAUGAAUAAUAUCCGUAAUUUCAAAGUAGAGUUUUCUUAUAAGUAGGACUUUUUAAAUUACUAAAGCUGCUUACUUUUGUCUGAAAUGUUGAUCAUACAUUUGGAAAUUAAGAGCUACUAUAGUGCUCUUUGAUUUAAUGCAGGCAUCCAUAAUGCCUGUACACAGGGUUGGAAUGAUAUGCAUUCGUGAAAAGAAAUUCCACUGCUCGCAGUAUCAUCUUGGAAUGGCACCAUCCAUACAAGUUGACGUUAUCUUCAUCUUUUGGGAUUACUUGGCAUGCCUACAGGUUGGUAUACUAACUUUACUGAUUGCCAAUUUAAUUCCUGAAAUGACUUUUACUGAUGUCUAAAACUGAUGCCACCCUGAAAAUCUGACAUAGCUAAAUGAGGUAGAAGCUUAGCAGAGUAGGAUAACCCUCCCCAUGUGUCAGAAGGUUAAUGUACUUGUGAGCAUGGGAAAUUAAUGGUGCACCCUAUCUAUUAAAAAUGCUUCAGUUACUAAACUUUGAUGAGUAAGAUCUAGAGGUGGCAUGAAAUUAAGAACAAGGUCAUGCUUCAUUUUUGGGAUAUCUUAGGACUAAAAACCACCUGAGCUCAAUUUUGCCACCAUUACCUUAAUUGGGUUCUCUCUUAUUUGUGUACGUUACAUGUUGGAUUUAGGCUAAAAGAAUCCUUACUUCUGAAAUUUUGGUCACCGAGUAAACAUGUACUAACUCGAUUAGCUUGAGGAAUUUUAUUAACUGUAGCAAUUUUUCUGCAGAUCAUUGUCACGCUCUCGUGACUGUUAGAAUUCUAUUCAGCAUCUUCACAGCAACUUCUUAUAUCUUCAAAGCUUCUCAUAACAUGUCUUUGUAACAGGCUUCCACGCACGUAUCAGAAGAAACAGACGAUCACUAGUGCAGAAAUAGAGAGAUUGUUAUAAAUUGUCUGGUUCAAGAAAAUUCCAGGAGUGUGUCCUGAUUUUGCUUUUGACUACACGAUGAAGCAUCUACCUCAGACAUUCGUUCUUAUGGAUGCUAUCACCGUAUUGUUUUGCUCUGAACACAAAGUUUUGUAUGACCAAAAUUUAAGCUUAGAGAAGUGAUGAAAUUGAAUAGUAAUUAAUUGAACAAGCCUUUAAAGUCUUGGCAUAAUCUAAAUUGUUAGAAUUUUCACAUGAUAAGAAGGGCUUUAUGAGAAGUUUGCCAAGAAAGUUGGAAAACAAAGACAAUGACAUUGGAAAAUUAC
RNAcentral lists this long non-coding RNA (1246 nucleotides) under Panax ginseng (ginseng). RNAcentral's name for it is "long non-coding RNA (PGIN_LNC016122)". Lineage: Eukaryota; Viridiplantae; Streptophyta; Magnoliopsida; Apiales; Araliaceae. The record is from RNAcentral.